GUGUGAACAGGAUAUGCCAAGGUUUCAUUAUAUAGCUCAGUGCUUUGCAGGCUCUCUCUUUUGGAGGCUAGCUCCAGAUGACUCAAAGGUAUCAUCCUAUUUAAUGAAUUAGAAUAAAGCAACAACUCAGAAUCUGGUGAAAACUCCGAAAGUCCUUUGAAGUCUGCGACCCAGAUUGAAGGCACUGAUGUGCAGUGGAAGAGCUUGGGCUAACAGGUUAACUUCCAAGCUAAGAAGAGCUUUCACAGAGUGGGUGCCAGGGCAGCAAGCAGCAUGGCUUGUGGGACCCAAACAACAGGUUCUUUGCAGGAUGUCCAUGAACAUUGACGUCCUGACUAUGCCUUACCUGCUGUGCUUGUGAAUGGCCACAGUUACAAGAUUCUACUUGAUGUAACUUCUGUUUUGACAGCAUCUUUCCAAUCCGCUGUGCAACAGC
This is a long non-coding RNA of Oxyura jamaicensis (ruddy duck), 436 nucleotides long. RefSeq lists it as uncharacterized. The transcript is spliced from 4 exons. Lineage: Eukaryota; Metazoa; Chordata; Aves; Anseriformes; Anatidae. The record is from RefSeq and is a predicted model, not a curated record.